This 845-nucleotide ribosomal RNA is filed under the name Staphylococcus aureus. RNAcentral describes it as "partial 23S ribosomal RNA". It matches the Rfam family "Bacterial large subunit ribosomal RNA", at positions 1033 to 1879 of the family's 2925-position model. Lineage: Bacteria; Bacillati; Bacillota; Bacilli; Caryophanales; Staphylococcaceae. The record is from RNAcentral.
CACCAGCUAAGGUCCCAAAAUAUAUGUUAAGUGGAAAAGGAUGUGGCGUUGCCCAGACAACUAGGAUGUUGGCUUAGAAGCAGCCAUCAUUUAAAGAGUGCGUAAUAGCUCACUAGUCGAGUGACACUGCGCCGAAAAUGUACCGGGGCUAAACAUAUUACCGAAGCUGUGGAUUGUCCUUUGGACAAUGGUAGGAGAGCGUUCUAAGGGCGUUGAAGCAUGAUCGUAAGGACAUGUGGAGCGCUUAGAAGUGAGAAUGCCGGUGUGAGUAGCGAAAGACGGGUGAGAAUCCCGUCCACCGAUUGACUAAGGUUUCCAGAGGAAGGCUCGUCCGCUCUGGGUUAGUCGGGUCCUAAGCUGAGGCCGACAGGCGUAGGCGAUGGAUAACAGGUUGAUAUUCCUGUACCACCUAUAAUCGUUUUAAUCGAUGGGGGGACGCAGUAGGAUAGGCGAAGCGUGCGAUUGGAUUGCACGUCUAAGCAGUAAGGCUGAGUAUUAGGCAAAUCCGGUACUCGUUAAGGCUGAGCUGUGAUGGGGAGAAGACAUUGUGUCUUCGAGUCGUUGAUUUCACACUGCCGAGAAAAGCCUCUAGAUAGAAAAUAGGUGCCCGUACCGCAAACCGACACAGGUAGUCAAGAUGAGAAUUCUAAGGUGAGCGAGCGAACUCUCGUUAAGGAACUCGGCAAAAUGACCCCGUAACUUCGGGAGAAGGGGUGCUCUUUAGGGUUAACGCCCAGAAGAGCCGCAGUGAAUAGGCCCAAGCGACUGUUUAUCAAAAACACAGGUCUCUGCUAAACCGUAAGGUGAUGUAUAGGGGCUGACGCCUGCCCGGUGCUGGAAGGUUA